This 255-nucleotide ribosomal RNA is filed under the name uncultured bacterium. Its description in RNAcentral is "partial 16S ribosomal RNA". It matches the Rfam family "Bacterial small subunit ribosomal RNA", at positions 90 to 354 of the family's 1533-position model. The record is from RNAcentral.
GAUUAGUGGCGGACGGGUGAGUAACAUUUAGGAAUCUACCUAGUAGUGGGGGAUAGCUCGGGGAAACUCGAAUUAAUACCGCAUACGACCUACGGGUGAAGGGGGGCGCAAGCUCUUGCUAUUAGAUGAGCCUAAAUCAGAUUAGCUAGUUGGUGGGGUAAAGGCCUACCAAGGCGACGAUCUGUAACUGGUCUGAGAGGAUGAUCAGUCACACCGGAACUGAGACACGGUCCGGACUCCUACGGAAGGCAGCAG